GGGAGGAUCACUCAUCUCUUCCAAAGUCAAUACAGGGACCUCAGUGCUGCACUGUCUAUACUUCAGGACAACAGUGCUUUUUGGUGAUUCUUGAAUCAUUUCAUAGACAGGGCCACAGUUUCAAAAGGACUUAAAAAAACAUAGCAAUAACACAUUCCAACACUUCCCCCUGAUUAUGGGAAGCACCCUGCCCUCCAAACCUAGGUAAGUGUUGACGUGCCCGAU
RNAcentral lists this long non-coding RNA (225 nucleotides) under Chloebia gouldiae (Gouldian finch). RNAcentral's name for it is "Erythrura gouldiae (Gouldian finch) lncRNA (ENSEGOG00005002330.1)". The record is from RNAcentral. Lineage: Eukaryota; Metazoa; Chordata; Aves; Passeriformes; Passeridae.